RNAcentral lists this ribosomal RNA (460 nucleotides) under uncultured bacterium. RNAcentral describes it as "partial 16S ribosomal RNA". It matches the Rfam family "Bacterial small subunit ribosomal RNA", at positions 338 to 795 of the family's 1533-position model. The record is from RNAcentral.
CCUACGGGUGGCUGCAGUGAGGAAUAUUGGUCAAUGGACGAGAGUCUGAACCAGCCAAGCAGCGUGAAGGAUGACUGUCCUAUGGGUUGUAAACUUCUUUUGUAUGGGAAUAAAACAGGGUAUGCAUACCCUCUUGUAUGUACCUUAUGAAUCAGGAUCGGCUAACUCCGUGCCAGCAGCCGCGGUACUACGGAGGAUCCGAGCGUUAUCCGGAUUUAUUGGGUUUAAAGGGAGCGUAGGUGGACUGUUAAGUCAGUUGUGAAAGUUAGCGGCUCAACCGUAAGAUUGCAGUUGAAACUGGCAGUCGUGAGUACAGUAGAGGUGGGCGGAAUUCGUGGUGUAGCGGUGAAAUGCUUAGAGAUCGCGAAGAACGCCGAUUGCGAAGGCAGCUCACUGGACUGCAACUGACGCUGAUGCACGAAAGUGUGGGUAUCAAACAGGAUUAGAUACCCGAGUAGUC